ACAGAUACACACACUGACAGACACAGAUACACACAGACACACUGACAGACAUACACACACACACACUGACAGACAUACACACACACACACUGACAGACAUAGAUACACACACACACACACUGACAGACAUAGAUACACACACACACACUGACAGACAUAGAUACACACAGACACACUGACAGACAUAGAUACACACACACACUGACAGACAUAGAUACACACAGACACACUGACCAACAGGUUCAGAAGGGGGGCUUACCUGGGAUCCAAAGUGCUGCCUGAG
Molecule: non-coding RNA, 283 nt
Organism: Pelobates cultripes (western spadefoot toad)
Lineage: Eukaryota; Metazoa; Chordata; Amphibia; Anura; Pelobatidae
Source: the annotation of a GenBank genome assembly